RNAcentral lists this ribosomal RNA (201 nucleotides) under uncultured bacterium. RNAcentral describes it as "partial 16S ribosomal RNA". It matches the Rfam family "Bacterial small subunit ribosomal RNA", at positions 161 to 355 of the family's 1533-position model. The record is from RNAcentral.
UGCUAAUACCGGAUAACAACACUAGACGCAUGUCUAGAGUUUAAAAGAUGGUUCUGCUAUCACUCUUGGAUGGACCUGCGGUGCAUUAGCUAGUUAGUAAGGUAACGGCUUACCAAGGCAAUGAUGCAUAGCCGAGUUGAGAGACUGAUCGGCCACAUUGGGACUGAGACACGGUCCAAACUCCUACGGGAGGCAGCAGCC